Molecule: ribosomal RNA, 223 nt
Filed under: uncultured bacterium
Lineage: Bacteria
Description: partial 16S ribosomal RNA
Rfam family: Bacterial small subunit ribosomal RNA
Source: RNAcentral
UACAUAGGCUCCAAGCGUUGUUCGGAAUUACUGGGCGUAAAGCGAGUGUAGGCUGUCCGCCAAGUCGAUUGUGAAAUCUCCCGGCUCAACUGGGAGGGUGCGGUCGAAACUGGCGGACUAGAGUUCGGGAGAGGAGAGUGGAAUUCCUGGUGUAGCGGUGAAAUGCGUAGAUAUCAGGAGGAACACCGGCGGUGAAGACGGCUCUCUGGACCGAUACUGACGC